GGUAGAGAGAGCCCGGCUCCCGCGGACCGCGCGAGGAAAGUCCCCCCACCGCCCGGGCAGGUGACCGGGCGCAAGCCCGGGGCGGGAGACCGCCGGCACUGGAACAGCAACGACACGUCCCGGCCCGACCGAUGACGCCCGCGAUCCCGACCGAAAGGGAGGGUAGUUGACCGGCAGAGGGCCGACGGCCGGGGAUCGAUGGAACGGCCACCCUCACCGGUGCAAGUCCGCGCGACAGGUAGCCCGGGUGCGCCGCUGGCGUACGUUUGGCGCGGACGCUCAGCCGAAUGCCGGGCCGAACAGAAGGGGGCUUACUCCUCUCUGCC
RNAcentral lists this RNase P RNA (326 nucleotides) under Halobacteriales archaeon QS_8_69_26. RNAcentral describes it as "RNase P RNA component". It matches the Rfam family "Archaeal RNase P". From Rfam's summary of the family: Ribonuclease P (RNase P) is a ubiquitous endoribonuclease, found in archaea, bacteria and eukarya as well as chloroplasts and mitochondria. Its best characterised activity is the generation of mature 5'-ends of tRNAs by cleaving the 5'-leader elements of precursor-tRNAs. Lineage: Archaea; Methanobacteriati; Methanobacteriota; Halobacteria; Halobacteriales. The record is from RNAcentral.